GCGGAGAUUUUGCUUCUCUAAGGGGGUGUUUCCACUUGGAUUAAAAGUCGCGGAUUAAGGUAUUUUUAAGCCGCGCCAAUCCACCGCUAAUCCGUCGGAGUGUUUCAUACAUCUGGAUUAAGAAACGGAUUGAAGUACGACACUUGCUCAUUCCGUGCAUAAAAUGCAAAAACGAGUAUUGCCAGACAUUUAAAAGACUAUC
This 202-nucleotide long non-coding RNA is filed under the name Volvox carteri. Its description in RNAcentral is "long non-coding RNA (VCAR_LNC002935)". The record is from RNAcentral. Lineage: Eukaryota; Viridiplantae; Chlorophyta; Chlorophyceae; Chlamydomonadales; Volvocaceae.